GAAAUCGGGACAGUCAAUUCAUAGAUUCUUUCUACGUACACUUGCUCGAAGCCUUGGCUGCAGCGACUCUAAAUAAAUGCAACUGGUCUGCGAUGAUUUAAAAGCUUCGCAGGCGACACCGUUCAAAUGCUGGAAUUGAAACACCUGCAAAUUGCAAACCAAUUCAUAUCAGCUGCCCGACUUUCAUGUGAAAAUCGGGUUCACAGAUCAAUCAACGGUGAUCAUCUCUGAAGGACAGUUAAACCGCCGU
This 250-nucleotide unclassified non-coding RNA is filed under the name plant metagenome. Its description in RNAcentral is "partial contains small subunit ribosomal RNA, internal transcribed spacer 1, and 5.8S ribosomal RNA". The record is from RNAcentral.